This is a long non-coding RNA of Hippocampus comes (tiger tail seahorse), 524 nucleotides long. RefSeq lists it as uncharacterized. NCBI's taxonomy places the organism in Eukaryota, Metazoa, Chordata, Actinopteri, Syngnathiformes, Syngnathidae. The transcript is spliced from 2 exons. The record is from RefSeq and is a predicted model, not a curated record.
AAAAAUGGACUUCCAAUUAAUUAUUUCUUGAUGAACCAUAACGGACAAGCUGAAGUAAGAAACAUAAUGAACGAAUCGAAAUGAAAUAUGUAAAUGACAGAUCUGAUACGAUUGCGGCCGAAACAGAAUCCAUAUCAUUUUGUUUGUUUUGUUUUUGCUACGAUACUAUCAUUCCUUGCGGAUUCGACUGGGAUAAUCGCGUCGCUCAAAUGUUUGUUCUAUUUCUAGUCGACUGCAGGUAAAGAUUCCGUGCUGUUUUCUUUGGAUUAUUGCGCUGGCUGGUAGUCCCGCUCUCACGCUGACUCUAUCUGCUGGCAACAUGGUGUUCUUUGACCCAAUUCCCAGAAGUACUUUACUUUUUCUCUCCGAGCACACCGCGUGUGAUUUGCGGCGAUUGGAGCACGGGCUUGGCUUCCCCGAACUCGAUGAGGCAUGCUGAUAAGCAAUACACAAGAAUCUGUUUGCAUUUCUAUCCGCCCAUCAAAAUAUUAAAGUAUCUCUUAGAAAUAAAUAAACAUCAUUUA